GAUGAAGAACGCAGUGAAAUGCGAUAAGUAAUGUGAAUUGCAGAAUUCAGUGAAUCAUCGAAUCUUUGAACGCGCAUUGCGCCCGCCAGUAUUCUGGCGGGCAUGCCUGUUCGAGCGUCAUUUCAACCAUCAAGCCCCCGGCUUGUGUUGGGGACCUGCGGCUGCCGCAGGCCCUGAAAAGCAGUGGCGGGCUCGCUGUCACACCGAGCGUAGUAGCAUACAUCUCGCUCUGGGCGUGCUGCGGGUUCCGGCCGUUAAACCACCUUCAUAACCCAAGGUUGACCUCGGAUCAGGUAGGAAGACCCGCUGAACUUAAGCAUAUCAAUAAGCGGAGGA
This 336-nucleotide unclassified non-coding RNA is filed under the name soil metagenome. RNAcentral's name for it is "partial contains 5.8S ribosomal RNA, internal transcribed spacer 2, and large subunit ribosomal RNA". The stretch from base 1 to 120 matches the Rfam family "5.8S ribosomal RNA", at positions 35 to 154 of the family's 154-position model. The record is from RNAcentral.